CGAACGCUGGCGGCAGGCCUAAUACAUGCAAGUCGAACGGCUCUUCGGAGCAGUGGCGGACGGGUGAGUAACGCGUGGGAAUGUGCCCUUAGGUACGGAACAACACAGGGAAACUUGUGCUAAUACCGUAUGUGCCCUUCGGGGGAAAGAUUUAUCGCCUUUGGAGCAGCCCGCGUUGGAUUAGGUAGUUGGUGAGGUAAAGGCUCACCAAGCCGACGAUCCAUAGCUGGUCUGAGAGGAUGACCAGCCACACUGGGACUGAGACACGGCCCAGACUCCUACGGGAGGCAGCAGUAGGGAAUCUUGCGCAAUGGGCGAAAGCCUGACGCAGCCAUGCCGCGUGUAUGAUGAAGGUCUUAGGAUUGUAAAAUACUUUCACCGGGGAAGAUAGUGACGGUACCCGGAGAAGAAGCACCGGCUAACUACGUGCCAGCAGCCGCCGUGA
This 445-nucleotide ribosomal RNA is filed under the name uncultured bacterium. RNAcentral's name for it is "partial 16S ribosomal RNA". It matches the Rfam family "Bacterial small subunit ribosomal RNA", at positions 30 to 523 of the family's 1533-position model. The record is from RNAcentral.